Molecule: long non-coding RNA, 1621 nt
Organism: Bos taurus (domestic cattle)
Lineage: Eukaryota; Metazoa; Chordata; Mammalia; Artiodactyla; Bovidae
Source: Ensembl
GUAACACAGGUGAGGAAACAUGAAGGAAGUUCUCCUCGGGGUUUAGCCUCAGCUUGCUGGGAGGUUACUCUAUCAAUCAACUACUUCACUAGUCAGUCUCUGUACUUCUCUCAAUAAACAUUGAUUCGUGUCAGUAAAGUGUCUUGCACUGCUAAGACCUAGAGGAAAAAAAGAAGGAGAUAGAAGCUUUCUGGAGAAGACUGCUCAGUGGUCUGCUGGGAAGGCACGGAUGUACCACAUGGACCAUUAGAUUGCAUCUGACAAAGGCACAUCAGUGGGGAUGUACACUCUCUCACCCAGGGCUGAGGGAAUGUAUGAAACCCACAGAAGACGAGGAACCAAGUACAUCGGGGAUGACUCCUUGAUUUCUUAACCGGGCUCCAUCACUGGCUGCUUAUGUAACCCAGGCAAGACCUUCUUUGAAGCCAAUCACAUUCCGUGAUUAUGGAUUUUUUAAUCUAAUCAUAGUCCAUGAAUAUCCCAAUUUUCAUUUUCCCACCAAUUGCACCACGCUGCUGGAUCACAAGGAGGAUUCUUUACCAGCUGAGCUUUGAGGGAAGCCCAAAGGUUGGCCUGCUGCAUUGGCCAGGAAUCGAACCUGGGUCAGCUGCUUGAAGGCAGCUAUGCUCACCACUAUAUCACCAAUGCUGAAGAAAACAUGAUCCUACAUCAUGUAAGUAGAGCUCAUCCUAUGAGUUCAAAGCCUGAAUACAAAAAAAGAUUGACCUGUCCCAAGGGAAUUCUAUGACCAGGCUGCAAGUGUGCUCAAACUGCAAACUUCCCUGGGUUUCCAGCCAGCCUGCCUGCUCUGCAGGUUUUGGACUUGCCGGCCUCCAUGAUCACAUGAGCCAACUUCUUAAAAAUAUACAUAUUCACUUCCUACUCAUUCUAUUUCUCUGGACACUCCUGACAUACGCUUAUUCAAACUGCAGGAUGCAGAGACAGGGGCUUGGCUAGAGGUUUAAAGAGAAUCGUUGGACAUGGCACAGAAGCAGAAGCACAGGGGGUGUGGAGGGUUGAAGAGACUGAAUGGCGUGACCCAGCCUCCCAGAACCCAUUGCUGUGCCGCCCCUCCACAUUGGGUUUUCACACUCAGUCCACUGCUUUGUUGGAGCACGAGGAGACGACAGUGGACUGACGUGCACGUGAAACACCCGUCUCAUACCGGCUGUCCUUUCUGCACAGAAGGAAAUGCCAUUGCACACCACCUGCUGACAAAGGAGGAUCUUCUAUACAAAGAAGGGGUUUGACAGGUGUUUCAGGAAGUGGAGAGCUAUACCUGGAGCUGGCAAGUCACGGUGGAUUCCAGGUAUUGUCCCAGCCUGGGCUGAAUCCAUCAUGAAAGGGCUAGGGCUGGAGUCUCUUCAGCCCACUUGGCUUUAUCCUCACAGGUCAGGUGUGCUUGGAAUUUCAGGUUAAGUGAAAUAGCUCCAAUGGAUGUGAAGAGCCUGAUAUGCCAACCCGGGCUCCCUCUAGAGUUACAGACAGGGGAUGCCCAAGAGUGACUUUCUCAGGGCAGAGAGAGGGGCCAUUUAUAGGAAAAAAAAAAAAAAGUACUCCUACAAUCCUUCCUCAGCAGCUGCUGCAAGUGCAGGGUCCUGGGAUGCGGCAGAUUUGCCAG